This 478-nucleotide ribosomal RNA is filed under the name uncultured bacterium. RNAcentral describes it as "partial 16S ribosomal RNA". It matches the Rfam family "Bacterial small subunit ribosomal RNA", at positions 28 to 523 of the family's 1533-position model. The record is from RNAcentral.
GACGAACGCUGGCGGCGUGCUUAACACAUGCAAGUCGAACGGUAAGGCCCUUCGGGGUACACGAGUGGCGAACGGGUGAGUAACACGUGGGUGAUCUGCCCUGCACUUCGGGAUAAGCCUGGGAAACUGGGUCUAAUACCGGAUAGGACCCUGGGAUGCAUGUCCUGGGGUGGAAAGCUUUUGCGGUGUGGGAUGGGCCCGCGGCCUAGCAGCUUGUUGGUGGGGUGAUGGCCUACCAAGGCGACGACGGGUAGCCGGCCUGAGAGGGUGACCGGCAAAACUGGGACUGGGAUACGGCCCAGACGGCUACGGGAGGCAGCAGUGGGGAAUAUUGCACAAUGGGCGCAAGCCUGAUGCAGCGACGCCGCGUGAGGGAUGACGGCCUUCGGGUUGUAAACCUCUUUCAGCACCGACGAAGCGCAAGUGACGGUAGGUGCAGAAGAAGGACCGGCCAACUACGUGCCAGCCGCCGCCGUAA